Small nucleolar RNA from Coturnix japonica (Japanese quail), 81 nucleotides. RefSeq annotates it as small nucleolar RNA U2-19. NCBI's taxonomy places the organism in Eukaryota, Metazoa, Chordata, Aves, Galliformes, Phasianidae. The record is from RefSeq and is a predicted model, not a curated record.
AUUCUGGGAUGAGAAAUAGCCAAAUCUGAACACCAGAAGAUAAAACAAUCUUCCAGGUAUAUGCAGUAUUCAGUUCUGAAA